AACGAACGCUGGCGGCAUGCCUAACACAUGCAAGUCGAACGAGACCUUCGGGUCUAGUGGCGCACGGGUGCGUAACGCGUGGGAACCUGCCCUUAGGUUCGGCAUAACUCCCCGAAAGGGGUGCUAAUACCGGAUAAUGUCUUCGGUCCAAAGAUUUAUCGCCUUUGGAUGGGCCCGCGUUGGAUUAGCUAGUUGGUAGGGUAAAAGCCUACCAAGGCGACGAUCCAUAGCUGGUCUGAGAGGAUGAUCAGCGACACUGGGACUGAGACACGGCCCAGACUCCUACGGGAGGCAGCAGUGGGGAAUAUUGGACAAUGGGCGAAAGCAUGAUCCAGCAAUGCCGCGUGAGUGAUGAAGGCCUUAGGGUUGUAAAGCUAUUUUACCCGGGAUGAUAAUGACAGUACCGGGAGAAUAAGCUCCGGCUAACUCCGUG
Molecule: ribosomal RNA, 433 nt
Filed under: uncultured bacterium
Lineage: Bacteria
Description: partial 16S ribosomal RNA
Rfam family: Bacterial small subunit ribosomal RNA
Source: RNAcentral